Melanopsichium pennsylvanicum is the source of this 102-nucleotide non-coding RNA. Lineage: Eukaryota; Fungi; Basidiomycota; Ustilaginomycetes; Ustilaginales. The record is from the annotation of a GenBank genome assembly.
UCCCAGUUAGUACAAUGGUUAGUAUAGGGCACUCUCACAUUGUAAGCAUUAUCUCAAAGCUGAGGAACUGCUCAGAUCAGGGUUCGAUUCCCUGGCCGGGAA